GUGUGACUGCGUACCUUUUGUAUAAUGGGUCAGCGACUUAUAUUCUGUAGCAAGGUUAACCGAAUAGGGGAGCCGAAGGGAAACCGAGUCUUAACUGGGCGUUAAGUUGCAGGGUAUAGACCCGAAACCCGGUGAUCUAGCCAUGGGCAGGUUGAAGGUUGGGUAACACUAACUGGAGGACCGAACCGACUAAUGUUGAAAAAUUAGCGGAUGACUUGUGGCUGGGGGUGAAAGGCCAAUCAAACCGGGAGAUAGCUGGUUCUCCCCGAAAGCUAUUUAGGUAGCGCCUCGUGAAUUCAUCUCCGGGGGUAGAGCACUGUUUCGGCAAGGGGGUCAUCCCGACUUACCAACCCGAUGCAAACUGCGAAUACCGGAGAAUGUUAUCACGGGAGACACACGGCGGGUGCUAACGUCCGUCGUGAAGAGGGAAACAACCCAGACCGCCAGCUAAGGUCCCAAAGUCAUGGUUAAGUGGGAAACGAUGUGGGAAGGCCCAGACAGCCAGGAUGUUGGCUUAGAAGCAGCCAUCAUUUAAAGAAAGCGUAAUAGCUCACUGGUCGAGUCGGCCUGCGCGGAAGAUGUAACGGGGCUAAACCAUGCACCGAAGCUGCGGCAGCGACGCUGAUGCGUUGUUGGGUAGGGGAGCGUUCUGUAAGCCUGCGAAGGUGUGCUGUGAGGCAUGCUGGAGGUAUCAGAAGUGCGAAUGCUGACAUAAGUAACGAUAAAGCGGGUGAAAAGCCCGCUCGCCGGAAGACCAAGGGUUCCUGUCCAACGUUAAUCGGGGCAGGGUGAGUCGACCCCUAAGGCGAGGCCGAAAGGCGUAGUCGAUGGGAAACAGGUUAAUAUUCCUGUACUUGGUGUUACUGCGAAGGGGGGACGGAGAAGGCUAUGUUGGCCGGGCGACGGUUGUCCCGGUUUAAGCGUGUAGGCUGGUUUUCCAGGCAAAUCCGGAAAACUAAGGCUGAGGCGUGAUGACGAGGCACU
Molecule: ribosomal RNA, 984 nt
Filed under: Escherichia coli
Lineage: Bacteria; Pseudomonadati; Pseudomonadota; Gammaproteobacteria; Enterobacterales; Enterobacteriaceae
Description: bacterial LSU rRNA
Rfam family: Bacterial large subunit ribosomal RNA
Source: RNAcentral